This is a long non-coding RNA of Mus caroli (Ryukyu mouse), 1340 nucleotides long. RefSeq lists it as uncharacterized. Lineage: Eukaryota; Metazoa; Chordata; Mammalia; Rodentia; Muridae. The record is from RefSeq and is a predicted model, not a curated record.
AGCAAUCAAGAAAUAUUUCCCCAAAGGCUGUUUAGAGGCUAUGAAAGCAGACUGGUUUGUGGGAAAUGGGAGCCAGUAUGGAAAGGAAGACGGGAAAGAGAAAGGAAACACAAACACACACACACACACACACACACACACACACACACCAAGGGACUUUCACAUGCCACCUUAGUCCCCUGCCAGUGAUUUUUAACCCAGGAUGGCCAGUCUUAAGAGAAGUCUGCCUCCUGCCACCUCUUGGCUUGAACACAGCAGGGUUAUGGCAUCCUAACCUGUAGGACAUUUGAUAGCAAGAUCCAAAAAGGACAAAGUCCGGUGCCCCAACUCAAACACCACAGGCCAGCAUCUUGUGACCUAACUUGAAUGGCAAUUAAGAGAGAAGAGGAAAGGAUUCCAGGAAAAAGAAUGUCUCCUCUCCUGCUGGGGCCAUUACAGCCCUACUCUGGGGGAGAAUACAAGCACACUGGGGAGGUUGCCUAACUGCUGGAGAAGAUGGUGUCUGGAGGCCUGAGGCCCAGUGCAUUGCACCUGUCCUGGCAUUAUCUCCCACACCCACCAGAGUCACCAGGCAGUUCCCGAUCCCAGUGAUGACAGAAACAAAAAUGGAGGCUACAGUACAACGGAGUUGCUUGGCAGCUAUGCACCAAGCAACGGCUUAAUUAGAAAUGGAACUAAGGAAGAAGACCCAGCAUGGGGCUGCAGUUGACAGCAAGCCGUUUACCAGGUGGCCAGAGCCUGCUGUUGUAACUGAGGAAAAAUGGCUGAAAGGAGGGCUAGCGAGGUGGCCCAGCCUGUGGAGGUGAUUGUGCCAAGCCGGAUGACCGAUUUCAAUCUUCAGAUCCCACAUUGGAAGGAAAGAACCAACUCCCAAGAGAUGUCCUCUGACACCAUGCAAGCUUUGUGGCAUGCUCCCGUCACACAGGAGACCCCAAAUAAAAGUUAUGGAAAAGGCAUGUGAAGAAAGAAGUGAUGUCCUUGUGUCACAUGUCACGUGUCAGGGCGUGGGGAGGGAGACUGCCAGGAUUUCUGUUUGUGUGAAGAGGCUGGAGAAUUUCUGGGUUGAAAGAGAGGGUCCGCCCUUGCCUGAGACACUUCUCUUACCUGCUAUUUCCCCAGGUCUCCCCCGCCCCAACCCUUUAUGUUGGCUCUGCCCCUCAGUUCUGGGGAUUAUAGGGAUGCAUCUAUAAUCUCUCAAAGGAAAAGACUGAGAAGGAACUAGUCCAGUAGAUAGAGUCACAGAAGGGGGGAGGGCUUGAGCAGCUGCCCUAGAAUGCCUCUAGAGAGCAUGCGCAGGAUUUCCUUGUUCUUCCAUAAACCCCGGAAAAUCUUCCUAAAAC